CCUACGGGUGGCUGCAGUAAGGAAUAUUGGACAAUGGACGAAAGUCUGAUCCAGCCAUGCCGCGUGAAGGAUUAAGGUCCUCUGGAUUGUAAACUUCUUUUAUAGGGGACGAAAAAAGGGCAUUCUUGCUCACUUGACGGUACUCUAUGAAUAAGCACCGGCUAACUCCGUGCCAGCAGCCGCGGUAAUACGGAGGGUGCAAGCGUUAUCCGGAUUCACUGGGUUUAAAGGGUGCGUAGGCGGGUAAGUAAGUCAGCGGUGAAAUCUCGGAGCUU
This 275-nucleotide ribosomal RNA is filed under the name uncultured bacterium. RNAcentral's name for it is "partial 16S ribosomal RNA". It matches the Rfam family "Bacterial small subunit ribosomal RNA", at positions 338 to 610 of the family's 1533-position model. The record is from RNAcentral.